RNAcentral lists this ribosomal RNA (311 nucleotides) under uncultured bacterium. Its description in RNAcentral is "bacterial SSU rRNA". It matches the Rfam family "Bacterial small subunit ribosomal RNA", at positions 28 to 334 of the family's 1533-position model. The record is from RNAcentral.
GACGAACGCUGGCGGCGCGCCUAACACAUGCAAGUCGAACGAGCGAGAGAGAGCUUGCUUUCUCGAGCGAGUGGCGAACGGGUGAGUAACGCGUGAGGAACCUGCCUCAAAGAGGGGGACAACAGUUGGAAACGACUGCUAAUACCGCAUAAGACCACAGAGCCGCAUGGCUCGGGGGUCAAAGGAGAAAUCCGCUGUAAGAUGGCUUCGCGUCCGAUUAGACAGUUGGCGGGGUAACGGCCCACCAAGGCGACGAUCAGUAGCCGGACUGAGAGGUUGAACGGCCACAUUGGGACUGAGACACGGCCCAG